Molecule: transfer RNA, 82 nt
Filed under: Nematostella vectensis (starlet sea anemone)
Lineage: Eukaryota; Metazoa; Cnidaria; Anthozoa; Actiniaria; Edwardsiidae
Rfam family: tRNA
About the family: Transfer RNA (tRNA) molecules are approximately 80 nucleotides in length. Their secondary structure includes four short double-helical elements and three loops (D, anti-codon, and T loops). Further hydrogen bonds mediate the characteristic L-shaped molecular structure. tRNAs have two regions of fundamental functional importance: the anti-codon, which is responsible for specific mRNA codon recognition, and the 3' end, to which the tRNAs corresponding amino acid is attached (by aminoacyl-tRNA synthetases). tRNAs cope with the degeneracy of the genetic code in two manners: having more than one tRNA (with a specific anti-codon) for a particular amino acid; and 'wobble' base-pairing, i.e. permitting non-standard base-pairing at the 3rd anti-codon position.
Source: Rfam by way of RNAcentral
GUUGGGGAGGCCGAGUGGUUAAGGCGUUGGAAUAGAAAUCUAAUGGGAUCUUCCCGCGCAGGUCCGAAUCCUGCCCGCAAGG